GAAUUCACUAGUGAUUCAGGCCUAACACAUGCAAGUCGAGCGGUAGAGAGAAGCUUGCUUCUCUCGAGAGCGGCGGACGGGUGAGUAAUGCCUAGGAAUCUGCCUGGUAGUGGGGGAUAACGUUCGGAAACGGACGCUAAUACCGCAUACGUCCUACGGGAGAAAGCAGGGGACCUUCGGGCCUUGCGCUAUCAGAUGAGCCUAGGUCGGAUUAGCUAGUUGGUGAGGUAAUGGCUCACCAAGGCGACGAUCCGUAACUGGUCUGAGAGGAUGAUCAGUCACACUGGAACUGAGACACGGUCCAGACUCCUACGGGAGGCAGCAGUGGGGAAUAUUGGACAAUGGGCGAAAGCCUGAUCCAGCCAAGGCGCGUGUGUGAAGAAGGUCUUCGGAUGUAA
RNAcentral lists this ribosomal RNA (398 nucleotides) under uncultured bacterium. RNAcentral describes it as "bacterial SSU rRNA". It matches the Rfam family "Bacterial small subunit ribosomal RNA", at positions 34 to 428 of the family's 1533-position model. The record is from RNAcentral.